AACGCACAUUGCGCCCCGUGGUAUUCCGCGGGGCAUACCUGUUCGAGCGUCAUUACAACCUCUCCAGCUCUGCUGGGUCUUGGGGCUUGCCUUCCCGGCAUCCCUUAAAACUAGAUGCGGCGCCGCGUGGCUCUAAGCGUAGUACUUUUCUCGCUUCUGGGUCCGCUGUGGUGUUUGCUACAUAACCCCAACUUUCUAUGGUUGACCUCGAAUCAGGUAGGGAUACCCGCUGAACUUAA
This 239-nucleotide unclassified non-coding RNA is filed under the name uncultured Neobulgaria. RNAcentral describes it as "sequence contains ITS2". Lineage: Eukaryota; Fungi; Ascomycota; Leotiomycetes; Leotiales; Leotiaceae. The record is from RNAcentral.